GGGUGGCCCACGCAGCUCACAUGGGCAGCUUCUGCACCAACAUAGCACUUCACAGCCAGGAGCAGGGUGGCGGUGCGUGCUUCCAGA
Molecule: long non-coding RNA, 87 nt
Filed under: Oncorhynchus kisutch (coho salmon)
Lineage: Eukaryota; Metazoa; Chordata; Actinopteri; Salmoniformes; Salmonidae
Description: lncRNA (ENSOKIG00005027602.1)
Source: RNAcentral